AGUUAAGUUUUUAAAUUGUUUUUUGUAUUUAUUAAAAUAAAAUUGUCGACGUUUGUUAAAAAUGCCACGAAAGACAAUAUAUUUGAUUGGAUCAAUGGAUAAUCAAAUUCUCGGCAGUAAACUACCUACACUAAGGUACUAUAUGAAAGUUUUAUUUUUUAAUAUGCGAAUAGUGAAAAUGAAUUUGUCAGAAAGUGCAUAUUUAGCUAUUGAUGAAUGUAUCAUAUUCUGGAAAAAAGCACGAAUUCCAAUUAAAGAUCGAGCAGAUUGCAUGAAGAAAUUAAAAAAGUCGUAUGAAUUAUGGCGAAAUCUCGAAAAACAUAAAGAACGGAAAAGCGAAACAUAUACAUCUCAAAUUAAAGAGUUUGAAAAAAAAUUAGACAACUUAUUUGACAUAGCACAUGCAAAUGCAUUUAACAUAAUGAACAUUGAAAUUGAUAAAGAAUUUUUACGUUC
Molecule: long non-coding RNA, 456 nt
Filed under: Cinara cedri
Lineage: Eukaryota; Metazoa; Arthropoda; Insecta; Hemiptera; Aphididae
Source: RNAcentral